GACGAACGCUGGCGGCGUGCUUAACACAUGCAAGUCGAACGGAAAGGCCCUGCUUUUGUGGGGUGCUCGAGUGGCGAACGGGUGAGUAACACGUGAGUAACCUGCCCUUGACUUUGGGAUAACUUCAGGAAACUGGGGCUAAUACCGGAUAGGAGCUCCUGCAGCAUGGUGGGGGUUGGAAAGUUUCGGCGGUUGGGGAUGGACUCGCGGCUUAUCCGCUUGUUGGUGGGGUAGUGGCUUACCAAGGCUUUGACGGGUAGCCGGCCUGAGAGGGUGACCGGCCACAUUGGGACUGAGAUACGGCCCAGACUCCUACGGGAGGCAGCAGUGGGGAAUAUUGCACAAUGGGCGGAAGCCUGAUGCAGCAACGCCGCGUGCGGGAUGACGGCCUUCGGGUUGUAAACCGCUUUCGCCUGUGACGAAGCGUGAGUGACGGUAAUGGGUAAAGAAGCACCGGCUAACUACGUGCCAGCAGCCGCGGUGAUACGUAGGGUGCGAGCGUUGUCCGGAUUUAUUGGGCGUAAAGGGCUCGUAGGUGGUUGAUCGCGUCGGAAGUGUAAUCUUGGGGCUUAACCCUGAGCGUGCUUUCGAUACGGGUUGACUUGAGGAAGGUAGGGGAGAAUGGAAUUCCUGGUGGAGCGGUGGAAUGCGCAGAUAUCAGGAGGAACACCAGUGGCGAAGGCGGUUCUCUGGGCCUUUCCUGACGCUGAGGAGCGAAAGCGUGGGGAGCGAACAGGCUUAGAUACCCUGGUAGUCCACGCUGUAAACGGUGGGUACUAGGUGUGGGGUCCAUUCCACGGGUUCCGUGCCGUAGCUAACGCUUUAAGUACCCCGCCUGGGGAGUACGGCCGCAAGGCUAAAACUCAAAGGAAUUGACGGGGCCCCGCACAAGCGGCGGAGCAUGCGGAUUAAUUCGAUGCAACGCGUAGAACCUUACCUGGGUUUGACAUGGAUCGGGAGCGCUCAGAGAUGGGUGUGCCUCUUUUGGGGUCGGUUCACAGGUGGUGCAUGGCUGUCGUCAGCUCGUGUCGUGAGAUGUUGGGUUAAGUCCCGCAACGAGCGCAACCCUUGUUCACUGUUGCCAGCACGUUAUGGUGGGGACUCAGUGGAGACCGCCGGGGUCAACUCGGAGGAAGGUGGGGAUGACGUCAAGUCAUCAUGCCCCUUAUGUCCAGGGCUUCACGCAUGCUACAAUGGCUGGUACAGAGAGUGGCGAGCCUGUGAGGGUGAGCGAAUCUCGGAAAGCCGGUCUCAGUUCGGAUUGGGGUCUGCAACUCGACCUCAUGAAGUCGGAGUCGCUAGUAAUCGCAGAUCAGCAACGCUGCGGUGAAUACGUUCCCGGG
Molecule: ribosomal RNA, 1343 nt
Filed under: uncultured bacterium
Lineage: Bacteria
Description: 16S ribosomal RNA
Rfam family: Bacterial small subunit ribosomal RNA
Source: RNAcentral